Molecule: long non-coding RNA, 469 nt
Organism: Molossus molossus (Pallas's mastiff bat)
Lineage: Eukaryota; Metazoa; Chordata; Mammalia; Chiroptera; Molossidae
Exons: 3
Source: RefSeq, a predicted model, not a curated record
GUUCCUCCUGAGUGAGCCGAGACGGCCCAGCUCUCCGGUUCCUUUUCCUUGGUGACGUAGAAUAAAUCAGCUCUCUCUCCUUUCCUAUCCACACCAGCUUUCGGGGAAGCCGAGAAUACAAAUAACACACUUGGAAACACUUGGAAUAGGGGCGCUGUUAUCUUAGUGGUCCUGCAACAUCUCUAUUUGGAAACUAAGAGGCUUGUAGUUAAUUAGUGGCUGCUGUGGAUUGCAUCUAAAGGUCAUGAGGCUUAGCUCUCUUCGGAAUAUGACUGCACUGUUAGACAUGAAUGGCUCACAAGGAGAAGAAUAGCCGUCCUCGUGUGAGGCUCAAGAAACUGAAGUGACCUGCGAUGAGGUGAAGCCGCCUGGAUUCAAGCCCAGGCCUGACUGACUUCGGGGCCCAUGUUGGUUACACGCUGCUUCGUGGCCUCACCAUCUGGUUUUCUAGAGUCUUCAGACAUGGAAG